Molecule: ribosomal RNA, 464 nt
Filed under: Sanguirana luzonensis (Luzon frog)
Lineage: Eukaryota; Metazoa; Chordata; Amphibia; Anura; Ranidae
Description: partial 12S ribosomal RNA
Rfam family: Bacterial small subunit ribosomal RNA
Source: RNAcentral
AACGCCAGGGAAUUACGAGCAAUGCUUAAAACCCAAAGGAUUUGACGGUAUCCCAUCCACCUAGAGGAGCCUGUUCUAUAAUCGAUAACCCCCGCUAUACCCAACCACUCCUAGCUUAUCAGCCUGUAUACCUCCGUCGAAAGCCUACCAUGUGAAUGUUCUUAGUAAGCUUAAUGUCCCCGUCAAAACGUCAGGUCAAGGUGCAGCUCAUGGAAUGGAAAGCAAUGGGCUACAAUUUCUAACUUAGAACAUACGAAAAACCAGGUGAAACCCUGGUCAUGAAGGCGGAUUUAGCAGUAAAAAGAAAAUAGAGUGUUCUUUUUAACCCGGCCCUGGGAUGUGUACACACCGCCCGUCACCCUCUUCAACUGUAAUUAACACUGUUUUAUAACUCUCCCCCCCACAUUCUAGAAGAGGCAAGUCGUAACAUGGUAAGUGUACUGGAAAGUGCACUUGGCUAACAA